This 429-nucleotide ribosomal RNA is filed under the name Gemmatimonadota bacterium. Its description in RNAcentral is "Gemmatimonadetes bacterium partial 16S ribosomal RNA". It matches the Rfam family "Bacterial small subunit ribosomal RNA", at positions 355 to 776 of the family's 1533-position model. Lineage: Bacteria; Pseudomonadati; Gemmatimonadota. The record is from RNAcentral.
UAGGGAAUCUUCGGCAAUGGACGAAAGUCUGACCGAGCAACGCCGCGUGAGUGAAGAAGGUUUUCGGAUCGUAAAACUCUGUUGUUAGAGAAGAACAAGGACGUUAGUAACUGAACGUCCCCUGACGGUAUCUAACCAGAAAGCCACGGCUAACUACGUGCCAGCAGCCGCGGUAAUACGUAGGUGGCAAGCGUUGUCCGGAUUUAUUGGGCGUAAAGCGAGCGCAGGCGGUUUCUUAAGUCUGAUGUGAAAGCCCCCGGCUCAACCGGGGAGGGUCAUUAGAAACUGGGAGACUUGAGUGCAGAAGAGGAGAGUGGAAUUCCAUGUGUAGCGGUGAAAUGCGUAGAUAUAUGGAGGAACACCAGUGGCGAAGGCGGCUCUCUGGUCUGUAACUGACGCUGAGGCUUGAAAGCGUGGGGAGCAAACAGG